AUGCAGUCGAACGGCAGCACGGGAGCAAUCCUGGUGGCGAGUGGCGAACGGGUGAGUAAUAUAUCGGAACGUGCCCAGUCGUGGGGGAUAACGUAGCGAAAGCUACGCUAAUACCGCAUACGAUCUACGGAUGAAAGCGGGGGAUCGCAAGACCUCGCGCGAUUGGAGCGGCCGAUAUCAGAUUAGCUAGUUGGUGGGGUAAAAGCCCACCAAGGCGACGAUCUGUAGCUGGUCUGAGAGGACGACCAGCCACACUGGAACUGAGACACGGUCCAGACUCCUACGGGAGGCAGCAGUGGGGAAUUUUGGACAAUGGGCGCAAGCCUGAUCCAGCAAUGCCGCGUGCAGGAUGAAGGCCUUCGGGUUGUAAACUGCUUUUGUACGGAACGAAACGGUUCGCUUUAAUACAGUGGGCUAAUGACGGUACCGUAAGAAUAAGCACCGGCUAACUACGUGCCAGCAGCCGCGGUAAUACGUAGGGUGCGAGCGUUAAUCGGAAUUACUGGGCGUAAAGCGUGCGCAGGCGGUGAUGUAAGACAGAUGUGAAAUCCCCGGGCUCAACCUGGGACCUGCAUUUGUGACUGCAUCGCUAGAGUACGGUAGAGGGGGAUGGAAUUCCGCGUGUAGCAGUGAAAUGCGUAGAUAUGCGGAGGAACACCGAUGGCGAAGGCAAUCCCCUGGACCUGUACUGACGCUCAUGCACGAAAGCGUGGGGAGCAAACAGGAUUAGAUACCCUGGUAGUCCACGCCCUAAACGAUGUC
Molecule: ribosomal RNA, 762 nt
Filed under: uncultured bacterium
Lineage: Bacteria
Description: bacterial SSU rRNA
Rfam family: Bacterial small subunit ribosomal RNA
Source: RNAcentral